Molecule: long non-coding RNA, 4489 nt
Filed under: Salmo salar (Atlantic salmon)
Lineage: Eukaryota; Metazoa; Chordata; Actinopteri; Salmoniformes; Salmonidae
Description: lncRNA (ENSSSAG00000091648.1, ENSSSAG00000099192.1)
Source: RNAcentral
CAACUACCAAUUUGAUACCACAAAAUUGUGGAGAAAAAGGGGUUAACAUUUUUUUUAAAUAAAUGUUAAAAGAUAUCUUCUCACAGAUAUGAAAGGGCUAUAUGUUUCGAAAACCUUUUCGCAAGCAGUGAUUAUUUACGUUUCUAAACUUUAAAACACAGAGUCGGAAUUGUAGUUCACAUGGAGCCAGCAGUGGGCGAAGCUUACUGCUGGAAACCCUAUGAAGAGAAGGGUUAUCGAGAGCUAAUGUAGGGGAUCAUUGAGGAUUCAGUGGACGCACAGCCAUCAACUAUCACUUUUAUUAUUCAAAUUAGUUUCCUCAAAUUACAGGAGACGGAGGAGGUUAAUUAUACAUUGUUUCUUGGUUUUAUAACUUUAUGUUUGUGUCCAGAUACGGCAAUUUAUUUCGCCGCCAACGCUACCUCAAAUUGCUUUUAUUUUUUGUUGAACCCCUUUCAUUCUCUGGGGUACACGGAAAAAGUGCGAAUUAAAACCGAGGUCGACUGCCUGAGAUCAGUUUGAUGAAGAAAGAUGAAAAGGUGAUGGCGUUCAAUACCAAUUUCUAUCAAAAGUAUAGCUGGUUAACAGGGAGCCUUUCAUCAAUCCGCCUGUAUUGCUGGCCUUGCCUGCUUUUUGGAAAGUCUGAGCCUUGGGCGAAAGAGGGGUACAGUGCCCAGAAGAACAUUGAUCGUUCAGCUAAACGACAAAACAAAAGCAGGGAGCGUAACGUUAUAAGAUUCAAACUUCUGGGAAAAACCCGCAUCUAUCAUGACGACGGUCUGCGUAUUCAAAAUGCGCAACACAAUGAGAAAAAGUGAACACUCCUCUCCACUACGAUUGUCAACUCUCUCCUGACAUGAACUGAAGCCACGUCUCAUGUUCCCGCUCAUCCACUGUUACAUUUAAUGUUUCCUCUCCAAACACUUCAAAUUCUGUCCUGCACUGAAGUCAAGCCUCCACUGGUCUCUGCCCUUGAAUGUCUGCAUUGGACAUCACUUGGCCUUCAUGGAGCAGCCAUGUACCACCACCCUCUCAAUAUAUCAGUAGUCAAAUGCAGGCUAUACCACGCCAGAGUUCUAUCCAAAUAUAAAGAUGGCAAGCUUAGUUCGGCAACUUUUGAUCUCCUUACAUGAGAUUUUAACUAGUCAGACAUUAUUAUGAGGUACAUAUAAUGUAACCUACCUUUGUGAUGUCAUAUGGGAGAAAAAUACAGUUUAACUUUCUUCAGCUGUUUAAUUUUCCCAUUGAGACCAAGGUGUCUUCUGCAAGGGAGCCCUGCAUCUUAUAAUUAAACAACAAAUUACACAUAGAAAAUACACCAGAAAAUAAAAAUACAGAGAUUACAAAAAAGAAAAGAAAACACACAUGAAAAACAAUCACAUUCCUCAGCAAAAAGGUCCUCAAUCAGCACUCUGAACUGCCCGAAAGGCACCCAUGCAUCCAUUUGUAGGGAACUCUGAAGAAACUAAAAGCUGUUUUUCCUAAUUCUGUAGCAACAGGGAAUUUCCAGUUAUCUAUCCCUGUGAUGGGUAUGGUAACUCGUACAUAUAUGGGUAAGUAAAGAUGUCAGGUAAUGUGGGAGUUUUUGCAAAAGGGCUUUAAAAAUGAAUAAAAUGCAGUGUUUCGACAUACAUGAGGUCAAAGAGGACCAUCCUACUUUCUGAUAGAGCAAGCAGUGAUGAGUGCAAAACCUCUCACCCCUGAUAGAACAAAGCGCACUAUGGUGAACUGCAUCUAACGGCUUUAAUGAAGUGACAGCUGCAUUCAUGUAGAUCAGUGGUUCCCAAACGUUUUAUAGUCCCGUAGCCAUUCAAACAUUCAACCUCCAGCUGCGUACCCCCUCUAGCACUCUCAAAUGUUUUUUGCCAUCAUUGUAAGCCUGCCACACACACACUAUACAAUACAUUUAUUAAACAUAAGAAUUAGUUUGAGUUUUUGUCACAACCUGGCUCGUGGGAAGUGACUAAGAGCUCUUAUAGGACCAGGGCACAAAUAAUACUAUAAUAAUAAUAAAUAAUUUUGCUUUUUAUUUAGCCAUCUUACAUAUAAAACCUUAUUUGUUCAUCAAAAAUUGUGAAUAACUCACCACAGGUUAAUGAGAAGGGUGUGUUUGAAAGGAUGCACAUAACUCUGUAAUGUUGGGUUUUAUUGGAGAGAGUCGCAGUCAUAUAAUUUUCCACACACAGUCUGUGCCUGUAUUUAGUUUUCAUGCUAGUGAGGGCCGAGAAUCCACUUUCACAUAGGUACGUGGUUGCAAAGGGCAUCAGUGUCUUAACAGCACGAUUUGCCGAGGCAGGCAACUCUGAGCACAGCCCUAUCCAGAAAUCUGGCGGAGGCUUCUGAUUAAAUUACAUUUUCAGAGAACCGCUUGCUGCAAUUUCGAUGAGACUCUCUUGUUCAGAUAUGGGUAAGUGGACUGGAGGCAGGACAUUGAAAGGGAUAACGAAUCCAGUUGUUUGUGUCGUCUGUUUCGGGAAGGUACUUGCGUAAUUGUGCACCCAGCUCACUCAGGUGCUUCGCUAUAUCCCAUUUGACAUUGUCCGUAAGCUUGAGUUCAUUUGCACACAAAAAAAUCAUACAGUGAUGGAAAGACCUGUGUGUUGUCCUUGUUAAUGCAGACAGAGAAGAGCUCCAACUUCUUAAUUGUGGCCUCAACUUUGUCCUGUACAUUGAAUAUAGUUGCUGAGAGUCGCUGUAAUCCUAGAUUCAGAUCAUUCAGGUGAGAAAAAACAUCACCCAGAUAGACCAGUCGUGUGAGAAACUCGUCAUCAUGCAAGCGGUCAGACAAGUGAAAAUUAUGGUCAGUAAAGAAAACUUUAAGCUUGUCUCUCAAUGCAAAAAAACGUGUCAAUACUUUGCUCCUUGAUAAACAGCGCACUUCUGUAUGUUGUAAAAGCGUUACAUGGUCGCUGCCCAUAUUAUUGCAUAGUGCAGGAAAUACACGAGAGUUCAGGGGCCUUGCUUUAAAAAAGUUAACUAUUUUCACUGUAGUGUCCAAAACGUCUUUCAAGCUGUCAGGCAUUCCUUUGGCAGCAAGAGCCUCUCGGUGGAUGCUGCAGUGUACCCAAGUGGCGUCGGGAGCAACUGCUUGCAUGCGCGUUCCCACUCCACUAUGUCUCCCUGUCAUGGCUUUUGUGCCAUCAGUACAUAUACAAACACAUCUUGACCACCAAAGUCCAUUUGAUGUCACAAAGCUGUCCAGUACUUUAAAAAUAUCCUCUCCUGGUUUCCAGAAGAUGAUGUCCUCCUUAAAAGUCCCCCCAUAAAUGUAACGGACAUAUACCAGCUGUAACGCAUAGAGUUCACUGGCUUGUAUGCGAAGCAGUAAUUGUUUCAAAACAUCUCCUGCCAUGUCACUGAUGCUUCGUGUUGUUUGACGAAGGCAUUUUGACCUUUUCCCCCAGCAUUGUCCAACCCAUAUCCGCGGCAGCAAGAAGAAUUAAGUCCUCCACAAUAGUAUGGGGCUUGCCUGUCCUAGCCACUCGGUAGCUCACCAUAUAAGACACUUCUAGCCCCUUCUUAUUAAUGGUAUCUGUUGCUUUUAUACAUGUCUUACUAUUUGAAAGUCGUCUUAGAAAAUUGGACUGUUUCGUUUCUAAAUGUCUGCGCAAGAGUGAAGGUUUCCCGCGAUAGAGUAACGGUUAAUGUGUUUGGAUGUUAAUUAUUUGACUAGACUAUCUGUAUUUCUCACAUCCUGACCCUAGUAAGAUGUCAUUUUCUAUAGUAGGGCAGGGGGGUGUUUUUGGUCUAUCUAUGUUUUCUAUGUUUAGGUUCUAGUUUGUCUAUUUCUAUGUUGGGAUUGUUUGGGGUUGAUCUCUAAUUGGAGGCAGCUGAUCCUCAUUGCCUCUGAUUAGAAAUCAUAUUUAAGUAGGGGUUUUUCUCAUUGUGGUUUGUGGGUUAUUGUCUUUUGAGUAGUGUGUUGUCCUCUCUGCGUCACGGUUUGUUGUUUUCCUAUUUUCAAGUUAUUAGUGUAUUGGAUUCAGUGUCACUUUGAAUAAAUAUGUGGAACUAUGAAAACGCUGCAUCUUGGUCCGCUCCUUCGAACAGCCGUGACAGUAUUUGACAUUGUUGUUAUUUCGCUGAACACUAGAUGGUUUCAUUUUAUUUUUUGGCAGUGAAACGAGGCUACUCAGACGAGAAAAAACAACAUCAUUCAGUCGACGUUCCUUCAUGUCCUAGAAUAUGGCGACAUCAUCUACAUCGGAUAUUCCCCGCCGGGGUUCGCCAAAUAAAAAUGUGAUUCACAUUUUAAAGCAGUCCAUUUAGAUUUUCCAACGGGGCAAUACAUUUCAGUGAACUGCAUUCUACUAUUGAGAGGCUUAACCUAGUGCCUUCAGAAAGUAUUUACUUGACUUUUUCCACAUUUUGUUGUGUUACAGCCUGAAUUUAAAAUUGAUUAAAUUGAGAUUGUGUCACUGAUCUACACAUGUCAAAGUGGAAUUUUGUUUGUAAUAAAAAAUGAGAAGUUGAAAUGUCUUGAGUCAAUAAG